AAUUUUUAAUGUGCAUACACAGCAGAAAUCAUUUGUGUCGAAGUCCAAGUAAUUUCCUUUCUGUUGGGUGGAACUGAGCCCAAAAUAUUCAGAAGCCCAAUGACAUCAUCCCCAAUUCUCCAUAUUCAAUAUCAUCUCUAAAAUCAAGCGUUACAGUUACAGACAUUGCUAUAGUUUGCUGAAAAUGGCUACUAUUUUUAAGCUUUGGUUUCUUCUUGUUAUCUUGAAAUGUAGCAUGGAAUUCAUAACUGAGUUGUAACAUGUCCCAUUACUUAUCUGCAUGUACUUUAUAUGUCAAAUUUUUCUCAUG
RNAcentral lists this unclassified non-coding RNA (310 nucleotides) under Hevea brasiliensis (rubber tree). Lineage: Eukaryota; Viridiplantae; Streptophyta; Magnoliopsida; Malpighiales; Euphorbiaceae. The record is from RNAcentral.